UAAACUGCUUUGCAGGGGAAUAAACCCCGAUACGUGUAUCGGGCUGAAUGUACUCUGAGAAUAAGGAUCGGCUAACUCCGUGCCAGCAGCCGCGGUAAUACGGAGGAUCCAAGCGUUAUCCGGAUUUAUUGGGUUUAAAGGGUGCGUAGGUGGCCUGUUAAGUCAGGGGUGAAAGACGGUAGCUUAACUAUCGCAGUGCCCUUGAUACUGAUGGGCUUGAAUACACUAGAGGUAGGCGGAAUGUGACAAGUAGCGGUGAAAUGCAUAGAUAUGUCACAGAACACCAAUUGCGAAGGCAGCUUACUAUGGUGUUAUUGACACUGAGGCACGAAAGCGUGGGGAUCAAACAGGAUUAGAUACCCUGGUAGUCCACGCCCUAAACGAUGAAUACUCGAUGUUGGCGAUAUACGGUCAGCGUCUAAGCGAAAGCGUUAAGUAUUCCACCUGGGGAGUACGCCCGCAAGGGUGAAACUCAAAGGAAUUGACGGGGGCCCGCACAAGCGGAGGAGCAUGUGGUUUAAUUCGAUGAUACGCGAGGAACCUUACCCGGGCUUGAAAGUUAGUGAAUAAAGCAGAGACGCUUUAGUCCUUCGGGACACGAAACUAGGUGCUGCAUGGCUGUCGUCAGCUCGUGCCGUGAGGUGUUGGGUUAAGUCCCGCAACGAGCGCAACCCCUAUGUUUAGUUGCCAGCACGUUAAGGUGGGGACUCUAAACAGACUGCCUAUGCAAAUAGAGAGGAAGGAGGGGACGACGUCAAGUCAUCAUGGCCCUUACGUCCGGGGCUACACACGUGCUACAAUGGUCAGUACAGAGGGCAGCUACCUGGCAACAGGAUGCCAAUCUCACAAAGCUGAUCACAGUUCGGAUCGGGGUCUGCAACUCGACCCCGUGAAGUUGGAUUCGCUAGUAAUCGCAUAUCAGCAAUGAUGCGGUGAAUACGUUCCCGGGCCUUGUACACACCGCCCGUCAAGCCAUGGAAGCUGGAAGUGCCUUGAAGUGCGUAACCGUAAGGAGC
This 1016-nucleotide ribosomal RNA is filed under the name Mucilaginibacter sp. S3H5. RNAcentral's name for it is "bacterial SSU rRNA". It matches the Rfam family "Bacterial small subunit ribosomal RNA", at positions 426 to 1451 of the family's 1533-position model. The record is from RNAcentral. Lineage: Bacteria; Pseudomonadati; Bacteroidota; Sphingobacteriia; Sphingobacteriales; Sphingobacteriaceae.